RNAcentral lists this ribosomal RNA (259 nucleotides) under uncultured bacterium. RNAcentral's name for it is "partial 16S ribosomal RNA". The record is from RNAcentral.
CUGCUGCCUCCCGUAGGAGUCUGGGCCGUGUCUCAGUACCAGUGUGGGGGACCUUCCUCUCAGAACCCCUACGCAUCGUCGCCUCGGUGGGCCGUUACCCCGCCGACUAGCUAAUGCGACGCAUGGCCAUCCUAUGCCGGAGUCGCCUCCUUUGACCACCUGGAGAUGUCUCCAAAUGGUGUUAUGCGGUAUUAGACGGAAUUUCUUCCGCUUAUCCCCCUGCAUAGGGCAGGUUCCAUACGUGUUACUCACCCGUGCG